Molecule: long non-coding RNA, 1036 nt
Organism: Corvus hawaiiensis (hawaiian crow)
Lineage: Eukaryota; Metazoa; Chordata; Aves; Passeriformes; Corvidae
Exons: 3
Source: RefSeq, a predicted model, not a curated record
AGAGGCUUCACACAAUGAUGGCAAACAGAUUCCAAUAAUUUUCUCAGUAGUAUCCUCAUAGCACAAGUGAAAUGCUGAUCUUUACAAGUAUGGCUGGGACUGGAUCCAAAGACCAAGACAGUCAAUGUAAACAGACUCUGGAUAAAUUUCUAUGCACAAUGGAGACUUAAGAAGUCAGGAAUAGACACAGGCUGGAUAUAACGGGGCUCAAGAAGCGUUAUUCUGGCCUUUCUUGAGAAGAGGAUAUGAGAAAGCAAGACACUCCUUAGGCCAUUGCUUGGAUACCUACUGCAGGCAGAGGGGAUAUGGAUGAGGAAAACAUCCAACAAGGAAGUCUCAAAGAAGCAGAAGAUGAAACACAUGGGAAAUUCCAGGAAAUGUCAGUUUUCAGAUGAGCUGGUAAAGAAAAUAUGGUGAGACAAUAAUUAUAUGGCAUUAGCAAAAGGGUCACAAAGCUUGGAAAUAUUCUGGAAGUUACUGAUAGCUCCUUCUCUAUGGGACACAGCAGCCUGUGAUCACAGAUUAAUAUAUUCCACUGCCAUUCAUAACCAUUGUUUCAAAUGUCUCUGAAGACAAGUGGCUGAAAGAUACCCACCCACGAGAACGAGAGAGAGAGAUGGGGUGAGGUAGACAGAAGAGAGAGGAAAAGGAAGAAGGAGAGGGGGUUUGAUUUUGGGGGUUUGUGCCACCAUGACCCAAUAUAAACCUAUACAGAAAAAAACAUAAUAGACACUUUGUGAUUUUUCAGACGUGAAAGAGUCAAAAGAAGAUUGUAGAUCACUAUGGGCAUUUUAUGAUGCGUGCAUUAUUAGAUGUAGCUCAGGUAGUAGUCCUGAGGCCACCUGUGUGCUGCAACUUGAGUAGUGUGAAACCAAAUUUAGGGCAGUGUUCUGAAAGUGUGACUUCAAUUUUAAAGUUCAACAGGGACAGCAGGGUGUUAUUGGUUACCGUCCUGCCUACAUGACAUGAAGUCAACUGUUCAAAAUUAAAAUAUUUCCAGGAACCAUCAGAAGACCACUGAGCACACUAGAAAUCU